CCAUGAGCUCAUCUGUCUCAGCCCCAUUUAUUUCUCCUGGGUGAUGAGAAGACCUGUGCUUCUCCGUUAAAAGGCACUAGGAAAGAAGGAGUUAAAGUGAAGGCAGGCUCGCUGGUUUGCUGAGAUCUGUCAGAGGCUGACUGGCUGGCUACAUAUCUGUCUCUGGAACAAUAGGUACCUGUAUUCUGCAUGGGCUGCUGGGCAGGCAGUACUAACACUCUGGAGAAGGUCUGCCUCUGUCUGAGCCUUCCUGGUGAGAUUCCCCAGUAACAGUCCUACUUUUCAGAGGAGAGAGAGAGAGAGAGAGAGAGAGAGAGAGAGAGAGAGAGAGAGAGAGAGAGAGAGUUUGAGGCUGUCUACUCUGUUGAUAGAGGACAAAGCUUUGAUCAUUUUUGUUCAGGCUUCACUUGGUGAGAGGUUUUAGGUUCUUAGUCUCAAGUCAGUAGUUGUGCUGCCUUCCCCCCCCCUCCCCUUUCUUUCAUAUUCUCUUUCUGCCGCCCUCCCUCUCUCAUUUCUCCUCAUAGGUUCAAUGCAGGCAGAUGAGUGCCACAGCUGUAACUGAGGCGUAGAAUAAUCAACACAUCGGAGCCAAUCCCCCUGACACCAAGAGGGGAAUCCGGCAGAGGUGACCGACCGCGAGGACAAGACCGUUCUUCUGACAAGUUUUAGACUCUUGUUAGAAAGGAGCCCGGGUGAAUCAGAGGCUAUGGAGAACGCAGCCCAAUUCAGCAGAUGAGCCGGAAUACAGUCCUGCUCCCUUAAAAACUGCUAAUUGAUGGAUGCUGCGGGGGAACAGACACCGCGAACGAGGGCAAAAUAGGAAUCAGGAGAGGCACGUAUUGCCGAUAGCACCACCGAUUUCCUUCUCAAAGCAGCUUGCACGGACUAUCCUCAGGAAAAUGAGAUCCAGGAGAAGUGACGCCCUCCUCGAACUGAAAGAUACUCAUGCUAAUGGUGUCACGGAAGAAGCGAUGUAUCGACAGCUCAGGAUGGCUGCAGGGGACAUAUUCAGACGUGGCCCAGAUUGUCUGCCCAUGGGGACUGAGAUACCUCUGAGAUUUAUAUCAGAUCUCCACAGUCUUUGUCGCUGUAUUUUGUUAGAAAGAAAGGCGAGGCUGUUUCUACAGGUGCCACAGAAAAAUCGAUGCCGAGUCACGGAUUAUUGGAUCCCACAGAACCAUGGAGACUUGGCGGUGAAAUUCUUCUAAAGUUUCUUCUGGCUAUCAGAGAGUUGAAAGGGGAAAAAAAAAUAAAGAGCCAAAGCUGUUUCAACUUCUUGGUUGUUUUACUCCAUGGCUUAGCAUUCCAUCUGCGCAGGCAGAGGUGUUCCUGGUUUGGGAAGUAUAAAUCCCGCGGGAAGUCAACUGGAGAACAUUUUACGCGUCCGUCACUCAUCCUAUUAUGAGCCUGCUGCUCUUCCUUCUCUGGACAAGCCUAAACUUUAAGAUUUGCUGAACAAACCUUGUGUCAAAUUUGGACCACCUAGACAGUAUUCCACCCUGAUUGUAUCCCAUGUCACUAUUCUGUGCAAGGCCACCGACUAGAAGAGCACAGAAUUAUUAAAAAGAAAACAAAAAAAAAAACCAAAAAAAACACAGCUGAAAGUGAACGUCUUUGGAUUUCCCAUUUAAUGAGUUGGCAGCUAAAGGACAGGAGCAGCAAUAAGGCUGCCUGGCUACAUUUUCAUAGUGCCACCAACUGCGAGUUAAGCUGACAAACAUUUUGAGAGCUCGGCCCAUUUCAUUCACAGCAGGAUGGCAGGAGUUAACUAACACUGUAAAAAAAACCUAACUAAAAAUCGUGCCUUUACUGCACAUUUGCACAGAAUCUCAGGACUGAAAGUGUCGAAGUUCUGCUCGACAAGCGGGUGACUGAUUGUCCCUGCCAGCUGGCUAAUAUCAUAAUUAGCAAAGUUGCUACCACAUCUGCAAAGUUUAAUCGAAAAAUUUACCAGUGGUAUGAUGGCAUUGUCACCAUGAUCCCAAGGGAAUCGGAGUCGACUUCUGCUUCAGGAGGAACGGCAAGGCUGUAUAGCUGAGAUGAGAAAUUGUAAACUUGCUCAGCCAAAGGUUAUGCUUCGCAUCACCCACCAGGGAGGAUCAUCUCUCAUGAAAACUUUCAAAUUUGAUUUUGAAAAUUUAUUCAGAAAAAUUUAAGCCACGCUCUUUUUCAACACAGAAAAUAAUAUGCUCCAGAGAAUCCUCUAAUUCACAGAAAAUGGACUCGGAUAACAUUUGGGUUCUCAUACUACCACAGUUCUCUUGAGAAGGACAGCCAGGAGGCUAAUAAUGAAGGGGCCAGGGAAGGAGGCCAAUGCUACAAGGGUUAUCUCUCAACCUCAGAUGUUGGAUAAGUCAGGGAACAGCGUCGUUUCUGGAUGGCUUCAGACAGGCCGGACUGACUGUUUGGAAGAGAAAAACCUGCUUAUUCUUUCAAAGGUACAUGAAUGUUGUCCACACCUUCCCGUCUAAAGGUUAGAAUCUUGCCUUAGACAAAGGAUGCUCUUGGAGUCCCACCACACCUAAAACCACGCUUUGAAGGAUCUGCCAAGCUCACUUUUAAUCAUGAGAAAGAAAUUACCCACAUGGAGACAGCAGAAAAUGAGAAAGGAGAGAUCGUGCUGCGAAUAAUUCCAGCGAGUGCCAAGGGGCUAGUUGAGGAAUGGCUUCAUGAGGUGAAUAUCUUAGCUUGUACUUAGAAUUUGGUUAGCGUAUAAUCAGUUUCUCUUUUAGGAGCGAAUACAAUCCUAAGUGUAUUUCCCAUCUGAGCACCGCUCAGGGCAUUUAUCAGGAUGUUGACAUAUUUAAUAUCGGCCUCGUCCUCGCCGUUAUUUAUGAUGACUAAUUUUACACUUAUAAAUAUGCAGAAAUCGAUGUAGGUGGAAAGGCUCUCUGAGCCCCAUGUCUGUCGCUAGCCGUCUGUCUUCAUGUGCAGCGCUCUGCUAGUGUGGCCUGUCCAGUAAUGUGUGUCUCUGUGUAUGUGCGUGCUCUUGUUGUCUCCUCUCCGCUGUGAAUGUGCAUUGGGAGAAUUAGCCUUAUGACAGGAUAUCAAAAGAUGGGCCCAAGACUUUCAUUUUUGGAAUGGAAAGAAAAAAUAAUGCGUAACACUUUGUAUCACAUCAGUUUCAAUUCUUCCUGAGAGGGAGGGGGCCAAUCAGGUAUGAGUCAUCACAGGGCAAAGCAACCAGGAUUCAAAUUGAACAUCACCUUCAGUGUCAAAUUAGUUGAAAGUCCCCCUUUUCCUUUACGGUGACUGGCUGAAACCCCUGCCAUUAUGUCUGUUUGUUUUAAAAGGGUGGGGGGAGCUGCCUGAGUUCAUCCACAGUGCCAUGUAGCUUUUCUUUGUUUCAUUUUUCUAAGGAUCAGAUCCAAGAAAAAUAAUAGGUUAGUAAUUCAAGACCAUCACUACUUACACGGUUCUCUCCCGGGCAUGUCAUUUCUUUGGGUGCCAAGUUUCAUCAAGAUCACUAAGUAAACAAAUGAGCGAUAACUUUUUUGCUCCUUUUUUCUUUUAAUUUGACUAGGGAGUAAGAACUGGGAAAGUCAAGUGUCUUUAUGAGUCACAGAGGAAGAAUGCAGGAACCCCCACCCCCACCCCCCAACUUCUGGUCUCAGACUUUGAUUUCCCACACAACCAAGUCACGGGAUCGCCAUGCCAACCUUAAGCAAUUUUGGCUCCCAGCAAUCCUGUGCUGGGGAAUCUUUCAAACUACCCUUCAAUCCGGGUCCAAAGGGCCACAGCACAGACUAGUAGAAAGAGUGCAUUAUCUGAGAAAGCACCAGGCUGCUUUCCCAUUGGUAUAUGUGUUUGGUGCCACGGUUAAGCACCGCUGGGGUCUAAUACGUGGAUGACCCCCUUUAUAGAGUGUGGGGGCUUCUGAGGAAAAGGCAAGCAUUGACUAAGAAAAAGAGUCAUUCUUCCAUGUGUUUUCAUAAAAGGACAAGGCAGGCCUCUUUGAGAGCUUCUGAAAGAGAAGAGGCAUGGGAGGAGAUGAGCCAGCUGGGGGUGGGUUGUUUUGGGGAGGGGAGCCAGCUGGGGAAUGGAGAGAGAGAGAGAGAGGCUGGGGAGAUAGCCAGCUGGGAGAAGAGGUAGGAUAAAGCCAAGGCACAAAGGUACAGGCAGAUGAGCAGCUGUGUUUAUUUGAAUACAUAUCAUUUAACCCUCACCUAAAAACAAAUUGGAGAGGUUUGGGAGUGCAUUAAUCUGGACCCAAUUAGCAUGUCUUUCCCCUUCAAAAGGUGCAACCUGAGAUUAAUGAAUAUCAACCAGAGUUUCAGAAGCAGCACUUAAAUCAUUUGCAUGUUUGUGCAUGAUAAUUGGAUUUAUGUAUGCACUUCCUUUCAUUUAACUAUUUCCAGUCUCCUUAUGAGUGAGUCAUACAACCCAAAACUUCAUUCGAGUGAUUUCUAGGUAGAAAUAGCUUACCUAGCAUUCUACCCCUAAGGGGGGAAAAACUCAAGUGGUUGUACAUUUUGAAUUUGAAUACCACAUUUCUUUCUUUUAUUAUUAUUUUUUUUAACAUAGAGGGCAGUUGAUAAUAGUGUGGAAUGCUGCUGCUUCUGGAGUUGGUAAAUAGGCACCACAGAUUUAUCUUUAAAAGGCUAGGAAAAUAAGGAAAUUUCCAACAUCAAGCUUUCAUGGCUUCCGUGUGGCCACUAGUAAGAGAUUUUAUAAUGCUAGGAACGAGGCCACUUGAAUGCCGCAUGGGGAAUGUUCUUGGUGUCUGGACCUGUGGCAAUUAGAUCACAGAGACAUCAGCAUCCAGGAUGGUUUAUGGCAUAGUUAGAAAUGUGUUUCUAUAGAAAGAGAUGGGAAUGCGGUCAACAUCUGUGAACUGCUGUGGACAGGCAAGGAGCAUUGUGAACCCUUGAUGCUGUGGGUUUGGUCCUUCUCAUUUCCUCCCUCCCUCCCUUCCUUCCUUCCUCCCUCCCUCUCUCCC
RNAcentral lists this small RNA (4939 nucleotides) under Rattus norvegicus (Norway rat). The record is from RNAcentral. Lineage: Eukaryota; Metazoa; Chordata; Mammalia; Rodentia; Muridae.